This is a non-coding RNA of Bombyx mori (domestic silkworm), 84 nucleotides long. Lineage: Eukaryota; Metazoa; Arthropoda; Insecta; Lepidoptera; Bombycidae. The record is from Rfam.
UUAACUUAGAUUUGUAUGAAGUCGGAACGUUUCCCUACGUUUGCCGCUAGGGGCGCUGUUCCAACUGCAUACAAAUUUGAGUUA